RNAcentral lists this unclassified non-coding RNA (417 nucleotides) under Hevea brasiliensis (rubber tree). Lineage: Eukaryota; Viridiplantae; Streptophyta; Magnoliopsida; Malpighiales; Euphorbiaceae. The record is from RNAcentral.
UGUUUGGGUCUUGGAUUCUCUUGCAGGCUUUCUCCACUGUCUUUCAAUGAUUCCCAAACAUGGUAAAGCUUAGGAACUGACCAUUCCUCUCUAUAGAUUCACCUUCACCAUACUUUUCUCCCUCUCUCUCUCUCUCGCGCUCUCUCACAAAGGAAACAUUUUCCCUGCCAACACCUCUCUGCCAAGCCGUACCCUCUCCAUCUCCACCCCCUUUUUCCUCAUCUCCACCGCCAACCACCCCCACUUCCUCCACCUACUCCUCCUUUCACAACACCAUGUCUUCUCUCUCCGACACUCCUCAGAUGUUAGGUAUUGCUUUUUGAUUCACUUUCUGCAUGGAACCUCAGGGUUUUUAAAUUCCCAUAUAUAUUCAUAUCCUUCCUUCAUCAGCUCAAACAGGAGAGAGAGAGAGAGAGA